UUGCGAUUAACCAGCCUUGGCCUCCAAAAGUGCUCAGAUUACAGGCGUGAGCCACCACCCCUGGCAUGAUGGUUUAUUAGCAGCCAGUAUUUAAAAACUGGGUGAUUUUGUAGAAAACCCAGUUCCCUAGCUUUUCACAAGAAAUGAAAAGCUCUGGUGAACCUGAGCCUGUGCUCUUAGGUGGCAGUGGCUGGUGAGAGCCGAGGAGCCACCCCUGUGUGGGGCAGCUUCUCAUGUACCAGCCCUGGCCUGGCCGCAGUGGCGUCCGAGGGCAAGAUUCUUCGGUGGGGCAUCAUCUGCCCACCCCGAUUCUGUGGGCUGCUCCCACCAGACAUUAAGAUAUGUAGCUCUGCUUUAGGAUGACCCGACACAGCUGCCACAGGUGCCUGAGGGCAACUGCAUUUCAUACUCGCAGCUUCCACCUAGUAACUGGAGCGUGGGCACUGAGAGCCUGCCCCUCAGGGCCCUUUGUGGGUUUAGACCUAGUGGUGAUCACGACGCAGGAUUUCAGGGGCACGAUGAGUGCCUCGGGAUGGGGGGGGUCCUCCCAGAGCUCUGUCUGCAGAGACCAUGGCUGCUUGGCUCACCUGCAGGGCCACAGUGAAGUGGCUGGUCUUAGUGUCCCGGACGAUGCUAGUGUUCAUGGCUGACUGGAUGCCCCACCGCCACUGCAGGUAGCCCACGGUGUUCUUGUCUAGGUUCCGAGCUAGGACCGUGGUCAGGCCAGGUCGGAUUCCACGGGAUGAAAACUGCAGAGCACAGUUUGUUGUCACAAAGCUGGAGGGACACACAGACAGAAUAGGUUCUGGAUGGCACUUGCUCUCAGCUGUUCUUUGUCACUUCCUCUCUGCCACCGUCCCAAAGACCUUACUUACUGUCACGUCUAUACAUCCCUGUACCGACUCCCAGUAAAAAAAGCAGGCGGUCAGGCCUCUAUCCACAUGGGGCAGGGGGUGAAGAGGGUGCUGGCCAGAAUUUUCCCAGUAAUCUCCCAACUCCCCUCAUCCGCCCUAACUUUAGCUACAAUCAAAGAGGCACCUGAAUGUCUGCGUUCCUAAGCCAACAGAUGCAAUCCCACUCAAGUUAGAAUGGAUGGAGGCCAAGGGGUGCAAGUCAGAAUCACCUACGGAGUGUCUCAUAUUAAGCAGUCCGGGACAGUGGUGCCCAAACUACCGCACGCUGGAAUCACCCGGCUCAUCCACGAGUUAUGGCUGGCUGGCCUCUCUGCCCGCAUGCUGAUUUCUUCAGUGUGGGCUUGUAGUGUGAAGUGUCCCGAUGAUUCCAAUGUGCAGCAGAGUUUGAGAAUCACUCACCUAGAGGACACCCAGACCUGUGGAACCAGAAUUUCUGGGUGGAGGCCCUGGCAUCAGUAUGUUUUUGGAGCUGCAGCGUGAUCCUGAAGUACACCUACAGCUGGGUACUAGUGACAGAAACUACAUGCAAAGUGAGCACAGGAAACUGGUUCCUGAAAAGAGCCUCUGCAGUUUCUUUCCAAGGGAGUCCAGCCCCAUCUUCUGGUUGAAAAUGGCUAUUUCAUGUUACUAACAGGAAUUCACACUUCAUUCAAGGUGCUGAACAGCGGGUUUCUUUAGUAAAGAGCUCAAUAUAA
Molecule: long non-coding RNA, 1609 nt
Organism: Sapajus apella (tufted capuchin)
Lineage: Eukaryota; Metazoa; Chordata; Mammalia; Primates; Cebidae
Exons: 2
Source: RefSeq, a predicted model, not a curated record